This is a long non-coding RNA of Dendrobium catenatum, 319 nucleotides long. RefSeq lists it as uncharacterized. The record is from RefSeq and is a predicted model, not a curated record. Lineage: Eukaryota; Viridiplantae; Streptophyta; Magnoliopsida; Asparagales; Orchidaceae. The transcript has 3 exons.
GUGGUUGCAUUGGACUAUCUUAAAAAUUACAUAUAUGUUGAAGCCGAUAAAGAAGCCCAUGUGAAGGAGGCUUGUAAGGGUUUGCGCACGAUAUAUAGUUCAGCCAAGGUCAUGCUAGUUCCUAUCAAAGAAAUGACGGAUGUUCUUUCUGUUAAAAGCAAAACUAUUGAGAUUUCCAGGGACACAUGGGUUAGGAUGAAACUUGGAAUUUAUAAAGGAGACCUUGCCAAGGUUGUUGAUGUAGACGAUGUGCGACAAAAGGUGACAGUGAAGCUAAUUCCAAGAAUUGACUUACAGCAUCUUGCUAAUAAGUUGGUAA